Molecule: ribosomal RNA, 220 nt
Filed under: uncultured bacterium
Lineage: Bacteria
Description: partial 16S ribosomal RNA
Rfam family: Bacterial small subunit ribosomal RNA
Source: RNAcentral
UACGGUCUCAGUUCAGAUUGCAGGCUGCAACUCGCCUGCAUGAAGUUGGAAUUGCUAGUAAUCGCGAAUCAGAAUGUCGCGGUGAAUACGUUCCCGGGCCUUGUACACACCGCCCGUCACACCAUGAGAGUCGAUAACACCCGAAGCCUGUGAGCUAACCGUAAGGAGGCAGCAGUCGAAGGUGGGGUUGAUGAUUGGGGUGAAGUCGUAACAAGGUAAC